This 251-nucleotide unclassified non-coding RNA is filed under the name uncultured fungus. RNAcentral describes it as "partial contains 5.8S ribosomal RNA, internal transcribed spacer 2, and large subunit ribosomal RNA". The stretch from base 1 to 52 matches the Rfam family "5.8S ribosomal RNA", at positions 103 to 154 of the family's 154-position model. Lineage: Eukaryota; Fungi. The record is from RNAcentral.
AACGCACAUUGCGCCCGCCAGUAUUCUGGCGGGCAUGCCUGUUCGAGCGUCAUUUCCACCAUCAAGCCCUGGGCUUGUGUUGGGGACCUGCGGCCGCCCGCAGGCCCUGAAAUCCAGUGGCGGGCUCGCUGGCACACCGAGCGUAGUAGCAUCAACCUCGCUCAGGGCGUGCCGCGGGUGCCGGCCGUAAAACAGCCUUGUCUCAGCACUAGGUUGACCUCGGAUCAGGUAGGAGGACCCGCUGAACUUAA